Molecule: ribosomal RNA, 713 nt
Filed under: Vibrio neocaledonicus
Lineage: Bacteria; Pseudomonadati; Pseudomonadota; Gammaproteobacteria; Vibrionales; Vibrionaceae
Description: partial 16S ribosomal RNA
Rfam family: Bacterial small subunit ribosomal RNA
Source: RNAcentral
GMGGGGGCCYUAAAAUGGCAAGUCGGAGCGGAACGAGUUAUCUGAACCUUCGUAGGAACGAUAACGGCGUCRAGCGGCGGACGGRWGAGUAAUGCCUAGGAAAUUGCCCUGAUGUGGGGGAUAACCAUUGGAAACGAUGGCUAAUACCGCAUGAUGCCUACGGGCCAAAGAGGGGGACCUUCGGGCCUCUCGCGUCAGGAUAUGCCUAGGUGGGAUUAGCUAGUUGGKGAGGUAAGGGCUCACCARGGCGACGAUCCCUAGCUGGUCUGAGAGGAUGAUCAGCCACACUGGAACUGAGACACGGUCCAGACUCCUACGGGAGGCAGCAGUGGGGAAUAUUGCACAAUGGGCGCAAGCCUGAUGCAGCCAUGCCGCGUGUGUGARWAAGGCCUUCGGGUUGUUAAGYACUUUCAGUCGKGAGGAAGGUGGUGUAGUUAAUAGCUGCAUUAUUUGACGUUAGCGACAGAAGUAKCACCGGCUUACUCCGUGCCAGCAGCCGCGGUUAUACGGAGGGUGRKAACGUUAAUCAKAAUUAGUGGGCGUAAAGCGCAUGCAGGUGGUUUGUUAAGUCAGAUGUGAAAACCCGGGGCUCAACUUCGGAUUAGCWUUUGAAAUUGGUGACUAGARUACUGUARAUGGGRGUUAUAAUUUCUGGUGUUGMGWUUAAAUGCGUAGAGAUCUUAARGGAUUACCRGUGGCRUAGGUGGCCCCCU